AACCUUAUGGACCUGCGGGCGUAUACCUGCGGAAGGAUCAUUAACACGUAUCCAAACGUACAAACCCACAAUAUACGAACCAUAACCCGCGACGUACCUAGUGUUUGAACCGCUCACCACGUGUGAAGUUCUGCAGCCCUUUGUUGGAAACGGCACUGCCUGGCUGGAUCGCCCUCUUCCCGAGGACGACGCAUUGUACGCAUCGCCCCUUUUUUCCACAUCAACCCUUUUCUGGUUUGA
Molecule: unclassified non-coding RNA, 240 nt
Filed under: soil metagenome
Description: partial contains 5.8S ribosomal RNA, internal transcribed spacer 2, and large subunit ribosomal RNA
Source: RNAcentral